UAUGGGGAAUGCCUAGGCUCUCAGAGGCGAAGAAGGACGUGAUAAGCUGCGAAAAGCUACGGGGAUCGGCACACACGAAUUGAUCCGUAGAUAUCCGAAUGGGGCAACCCACUAUGUUGAAGACAUAGUAUCCUUUAAAGGAGGCAAACCUGCUGAACUGAAACAUCUAAGUAGGCAGAGGAGAAGAAAACAAAAGUGAUUCCGCAAGUAGUGGCGAGCGAACGCGGAAUAGCCCAAACCAAUGUUGUUACGGCAAUAUUGGGGUUGUAGGACCACGAUAUUUCUUGCGGAUUGAAUUAGAAUUACCUGGAAAGGUAAACCACAGAGGGUGAUAGUCCCGUAUAAGUAAGAGAAGAUAAGAAUAGUGGUAUCCUGAGUAGGUCGGGGCACGUGAAACCCUGAUUGAAUCAAGCGGGACCAUCCGCUAAGGCUAAAUACUCCUGAGAGACCGAUAGUGAACCAGUACCGUGAGGGAAAGGUGAAAAGAACCGUGAAUAACGGAGUGAAAAAGAACCUGAAACCAUACGCUUACAAGCGGUCGGAGCCCUUAAGUGGGGUGACGGCGUGCCUUUUGCAUAAUGAGCCUACGAGUUACCGUUGCUGGCAAGGAUAAGGACUUCAGGUCUGGAUCCGUAGCGAAAGCGAGUCUUAAUAGGGCGCUUUAGUCAGUAGUGGUAGACGCGAAACCGUGUGAUCUACCCAUGGGCAGGUUGAAGUUUAGGUAACACUAAAUGGAGGACCGAACCGUUUAACGCUGAAAAGUUUUCGGAUGACCUGUGGGUAGGGGUGAAAGGCCAAUCAAACUCGGAAAUAGCUCGUACUCCCCGAAAUGCAUUUAGGUGCAGCGAUAUAUCAGUUACUUAGAGGUAGAGCUACUGAUUGGAUGCGGGGGCUUCACCGCCUACCAAUUCCUGACAAACUCCGAAUGCUAAGUAAUGAUUUAUAUCAGUGAGGGCAUGGGUGCUAAGGUCCAUGUCCGAGAGGGAAAGAACCCAGACCAUCAGCUAAGGUCCCCAAAUGUAUACUAAGUUGAAAAAACGCGGUUUGAUUGCCCAGACAGCUAGGAUGUUGGCUUGGAAGCAGCCAUUCAUUUAAAGAGUGCGUAACAGCUCACUAGUCGAGCGAUCGAGCAUGGAUAAUAAUCGGGCAUAAGUAUACUACCGAAGCUAUGGAUUUACGUUUAAAACGUGAGUGGUAGGGGAGCAUUCUAAUAGGGUUGAAGGUGAUUUGUGAGAAUUGCUGGACUAAUUAGAAAAGAAAAUGUAGGCAUAAGUAACGAUAAGGGGUGCGAGAAACACCCCCGCCGUAAGACUAAGGAUUCCUCAGCUAUGCUAAUCAGCUGAGGGUUAGUCGGGACCUAAGGCACACCCGAAGGGGGACGUCGAUGGCCAACGGGUUAAUAUUCCCGUACUACUUAUAAUUGUGAUGGAGUGACACAGUGAUGAAAGCACCGCCAGCUGACGGAAUAGCUGGUUGAAGCACGUACCUAUAGGUUUGAUAGUAAAAUGCGUCAGACUUGGAGAAAUGCGAUAGUACUCAGCGUCUACGGACAACGAGAUAGUGUGCCUAAGGGCUGUCAAGAAAAGCUUCUAAACUUAGAUUGUAAGUACCCGUACCGUAAACCGACACAGGUAGUCGAGGAGAGUAUCCUAAGGCGCUCGAGAGAUUCAUGGCUAAGGAACUAGGCAAAAUAGACCUGUAACUUCGGGAGAAAGGUCGCCAGCGCAAGCUGGCCGCAGUGAAAAGGUCCAGGCGACUGUUUAUCAAAAACACAGGGCUCUGCAAAAUCGUAAGAUGAAGUAUAGGGCCUGACACCUGCCCGGUGCUGGAAGGUUAAGAGGAGAUGUUAUCGAUGAUUAAUUGUUGAGAAGCAUUGAAUUGAAGCCCCAGUAAACGGCGGCCGUAACUAUAACGGUCCUAAGGUAGCGAAAUUCCUUGUCGGGUAAGUUCCGACCUGCACGAAUGGUGUAACGAUCUGGACACUGUCUCAGCCAUGAGCUCGGUGAAAUUGUAGUAUCGGUGAAGAUGCCGAUUACCCGCAGUGGGACGAAAAGACCCUGUGCACCUUUACUAUAGCUUAGUAUUGUUCUUGGAUAAGUGAUGUGUAGGAUAGGUGGGAGACUGUGAAAUGGCGUCGCUAGGCGUUGUGGAGUCAUUGUUGAAAUACCACCCUUUGCUUAUUUGAGAUCUAACUCCUUAACGGGAGGACAUUGCUUGGUGGGUAGUUUGACUGGGGUGGUCGCCUCCAAAAGAGUAACGGAGGCUUCUAAAGGUUCCCUCAGCACGCUUGGUAACCGUGCGUAGAGUGCAAUGGUAUAAGGAUACUACGUGU
RNAcentral lists this ribosomal RNA (2332 nucleotides) under Myroides injenensis M09-0166. RNAcentral describes it as "bacterial LSU rRNA". It matches the Rfam family "Bacterial large subunit ribosomal RNA", at positions 20 to 2376 of the family's 2925-position model. The record is from RNAcentral. Lineage: Bacteria; Pseudomonadati; Bacteroidota; Flavobacteriia; Flavobacteriales; Flavobacteriaceae.